This 76-nucleotide transfer RNA is filed under the name Schljakovianthus quadrilobus. RNAcentral's name for it is "partial tRNA-Leu". It matches the Rfam family "tRNA", at positions 10 to 71 of the family's 71-position model. Rfam says of the family: Transfer RNA (tRNA) molecules are approximately 80 nucleotides in length. Lineage: Eukaryota; Viridiplantae; Streptophyta; Jungermanniopsida; Jungermanniales; Anastrophyllaceae. The record is from RNAcentral.
UCGAAAUGGGUAGACGCUACGGACUUAAAAUCCGUUGGCUUUUUAGACCGUGAGGGUUCAAGUCCCUCUACCCCCA